AUUCAGCUGAUGAGUCUCAAAUAGGACGAAAUGCGCAUCCUGAAU
Molecule: non-coding RNA, 45 nt
Filed under: Schistosoma mattheei
Lineage: Eukaryota; Metazoa; Platyhelminthes; Trematoda; Strigeidida; Schistosomatidae
Source: RNAcentral